CCUAGCCUCAUAGACUGGGACAACUAUUGGAAACGAUAGCUAAUACCGGAUAACAGUAUUUCUCGCAUGAGAGAUAUUUAAAAGUUGGUUAUGCUAACACUAUGAGAUGGCUUUGCGGUGCAUUAGCUAGUUGGUGGGGUAAAGGCCCACCAAGGCGACGAUGCAUAGCCGACCUGAGAGGGUGAUCGGCCACACUGGGACUGAGACACGGCCCAG
RNAcentral lists this ribosomal RNA (216 nucleotides) under uncultured bacterium. RNAcentral's name for it is "partial 16S ribosomal RNA". It matches the Rfam family "Bacterial small subunit ribosomal RNA", at positions 124 to 334 of the family's 1533-position model. The record is from RNAcentral.